RNAcentral lists this ribosomal RNA (519 nucleotides) under uncultured eukaryote. Its description in RNAcentral is "SSU rRNA". It matches the Rfam family "Eukaryotic small subunit ribosomal RNA", at positions 1161 to 1702 of the family's 1831-position model. The record is from RNAcentral.
AGGGCACCACCAGGAGUGGAGCCUGCGGCUUAAUUUGACUCAACACGGGAAAUCUCACCAGGCCCGGACACCGGAAGGAUUGACAGAUUGAGGGCUCUUUCUUGAUUCGGUGGGUGGUGGUGCAUGGCCGUUCUUAGUUGGUGGAGCGAUUUGUCUGGUUAAUUCCGAUAACGAACGAGACUCUGGCCUACUAACUAGACGUUGGAUCCCUUUGUGGGUCCAUCGCAGCUUCUUAGAGGGACGGGCGGCGUUUAGCCGCACGAGAUUGAGCAAUAACAGGUCUGUGAUGCCCUUAGAUGUUCUGGGCUGCACGCGCGCUACACUGAAGGAAUCAGCGUGUGUUCCCUAUCCGAAAGGAUUGGGAAACCCGUUGAACCUCCUUCGUGAUGGGGAUUGGGGAUUGCAAUUAUUCCCCAUGAACGAGGAAUUCCCAGUAGGCGCGAGUCAUAAGCUUGCGUCGAUUACGCCCCUGCCCUUUGUACACACCGCCCGUCGCUACUACCGAUCGAGUGAUUUAGU